This 496-nucleotide ribosomal RNA is filed under the name uncultured bacterium. RNAcentral's name for it is "bacterial SSU rRNA". It matches the Rfam family "Bacterial small subunit ribosomal RNA", at positions 28 to 536 of the family's 1533-position model. The record is from RNAcentral.
GAUGAACGCUGGCGGCGUGCCUAAUACAUGCAAGUCGAGCGAACCACUUCGGUGGUGAGCGGCGAACGGGUGAGUAACACGUAGGAAUCUACCUAGUAGUGGGGGAUAGCUCGGGGAAACUCGAAUUAAUACCGCAUACGACCUACGGGUGAAAGGGGGCGCAAGCUCUUGCUAUUAGAUGAGCCUAAAUCAGAUUAGCUAGUUGGUGGGGUAAAGGCCUACCAAGGCGACGAUCUGUAACUGGUCUGAGAGGAUGAUCAGUCACACCGGAACUGAGACACGGUCCGGACUCCUACGGGAGGCAGCAGUGGGGAAUAUUGGACAAUGGGGGCAACCCUGAUCCAGCCAUGCCGCGUGUGUGAAGAAGGCCUUUUGGUUGUAAAGCACUUUAAGCAGGGAGGAGAGGCUAAUGGUUAAUACCCAUUAGAUUAGACGUUACCUGCAGAAUAAGCACCGGCUAACUCUGUGCCAGCAGCCCGCGGUAAAAUAGCGUACU